AGUCGAACGAAGCACUUUAUUAUGAUUUCUUCGGAAUGACGAUUUAGUGACUGAGUGGCGGACGGGUGAGUAACGCGUGGGUAACCUGCCUUAUACAGGGGGAUAACAGUUAGAAAUGACUGCUAAUACCGCAUAAGCGCACAGGAUUGCAUGAUCUGGUGUGAAAAACUCCGGUGGUAUAAGAUGGACCCGCGUCUGAUUAGCUGGUUGGUGAGGUAACGGCCCACCAAGGCGACGAUCAGUAGCCGACCUGAGAGGGUGACCGGCCACAUUGGGACUGAGACACGGCCCAAACUCCUACGGGAGGCAGCAGUGGGGAAUAUUGCACAAUGGGGGAAACCCUGAUGCAGCGACGCCGCGUGAGCGAAGAAGUAUUUCGGUAUGUAAAGCUCUAUCAGCAGGGAAGAAAAAAAUGACGGUACCUGACUAAGAAGCCCCGGCUAACUACGUGCCAGCAGCCGCGGUAAUACGUAGGGGGCAAGCGUUAUCCGGAUUUACUGGGUGUAAAGGGAGCGCAGGCGGUGCGGCAAGUCUGAUGUGAAAGCCCGGGGCUCAACCCCGGGACUGCAUUGGAAACUGUCGUACUUGAGUAUCGGAGAGGUAAGUGGAAUUCCUAGUGUAGCGGUGAAAUGCGUAGAUAUUAGGAGGAACACCAGUGGCGAAGGCGGCUUACUGGACGAUAA
Molecule: ribosomal RNA, 683 nt
Filed under: uncultured bacterium
Lineage: Bacteria
Description: bacterial SSU rRNA
Rfam family: Bacterial small subunit ribosomal RNA
Source: RNAcentral